Molecule: long non-coding RNA, 9268 nt
Organism: Hypanus sabinus (Atlantic stingray)
Lineage: Eukaryota; Metazoa; Chordata; Chondrichthyes; Myliobatiformes; Dasyatidae
Exons: 3
Source: RefSeq, a predicted model, not a curated record
UCCUAGACUCUCCCACCAUAGGAAACAUCCUCUCCCCAUCCACUCUAUCUGUGUCCUCUGGUCCUAGACUCCCCCACCAUAGGAAUCAUCCUCUCCCCAUCCACUCUAUCUGUGUCCUCUGGUCCUAGACUCCCCCACCAUAGGAAACAUCCUCUCCCCAUCCACUCUAUCUGUGUCCUCUGGUCCUAGACUCCCCCACUAUAGGAAACAUCCUCUCCACAUCCACUCUGUCUAGGCCAUUCAAUAUUCAAUGAGAACCCUCUCAUACUUCUAAACUCCAGUGAGCACAGGCCCAGGGCCAUCAAACACUCCUGAUACAUUAACCCUUUCAUUCCUAGGAUCAUUCUUCUGAACCGCCUGUGGACCAAUACCAACACAUCCUUUCUAACUUCACAGUAUUCCAAGUGUGGCCUGACCAAUGCCUCAUUAAGCCUCAGCAUUACAUCCUUGUUCUUAUAUUCUAUAAAAGAUGUGGUCAGAAAGAAAAGACACAUGAGAGGAAAGUAGGCAGCCCACACCCCCUCUGUCACGGAGUCCUCAUCUCCACCUCUGUAACAUCCCCUGCCUCUUCCUUGCCACUACUGGCUGCCGACUGGAUUGCUCCUACCGUCUGGUACCCCCCCCCCCCCCCCCCACCCCAGACACCACUUCUGCAGCUGACAUAAGGGAGAGGCUGUUGGAAUGUUUAUGUACCAAUGUUAUUGCAUAAACAUUGAUCUUGGGACACAGUGAGCAAAGAACAAUACUGCACAGGAACAGGCUCAUUGUCCCUCAAUGUCUGUGCCAAACACUAUGCCAAAUUAAACUAAAUCUCCUCUGUCCACACAUCAUCCACCUCCCUCCAUGUAUUUCUGAGCUGCUGCAACUAGGCUUUUCAUUGCAAUGCACACAGAAUGCUGCAGGAACUCAGCAAGUCGGGCAGCGCUUGGGGGGGGGGGGGAUAAACAGCCAGCAUUUCGGACCAAGACCCUUAAUCAGGAAGGGGGCAGAAGCCAGGAUAAGAAGGUGGAGGGAAUGGGAGGAAUACAAGCUAGCAGGUGGUAGGUGAGACCCAGUGAAGGGGCAGGAGGUGGGUAAGAGAUAAAAGGCUGAAGAAGUGAACGAUGGAAGGAGGAAGGGAACCAGAGCAUCUCACCUGUCCGUAUGUGUGCUUGUGCACGUGACAAUGACAAGGUCGGAUUCAGUUUCAGAUUUAUUCAUUCAUAGUUCAAAGUAAAUUAAUUAUCAGUGUCCAUACUGUAGUCUCGCAGGUGUUCAUAGAACCACAGUAGAAUCAAUGAAAAACUACACAACAAAAACUAAUAAUGUGCAAAAGAAAACAAAUUGUGCAGAUAUCAAGAAAGAAAAGAAAAUAAUAACUGAGUAAUAAAAAUUAAGAACCUGAUUUGUGGAAUCCUUGAAGGUGAGUAAUGUACAAAAUCAGUUCAGUGUUGGGGUGAGUGAAGUUAUCCACACAGAUUCAGGAACCUGAUGUUUGAGGGACAAUAACUGUACCUGAACCUGGUGGAGUGGGAUCUGAGACUCCUGUACCUCCUUGCUGAUGGCAGCUGUGAAAAGAGAAUUUGCCCUGGAUGGUGAGGGUCCUCAAAGAUAGACGCCGUUUUCCUGCGGCAGCACUGCUUGUAAAUUUGCUCACUGGUGGGAGGGCUUUACCUGUGAUGACUGGUAGAGAUAGACUGUAUCGAUUACUUUUUGUAGACUUUUCCGUUCAAGGGCAUUGGUGUUUCCCUACCAGAUUGUGAUUCAACCAGUCAAUAUACUCUCUACCACGCAUCUAUAGAAAUUUGUCAAAGUUUUAAAGUAUGUGUUGAAUCUUCACAAACCUCCAAGAAAUCAGAGGCACUGCCAUGCUUUCUUCAUAAUGACACUUAAGUGCUGGCCUAGGACAGAUUCUGUGAGAUGAUAAUGCCCGAUCCCUAAUGAAAGCUGGCUCUGGUUUCCUCCUCCUGUAGUCAGUAAUCAACUCUUUGGUCUUGCUGACAUUGAGUGAGAGAUUGCUGUUGUGGCACCAUUCAGCCAGAUUUUCAAUCUCCCUCCUGUAACAAACAAUGAAAUUCACCUUUUGUGUUAUCAACCAACUCAACCUAAUGAUACGCUGGGAACAGCCCGCUAGAGUCGUGAUGCACCAUCAAUAACUCUUGGAGAUGGGAGGCGAACGAUAGACUUUUAUUAGCUGCAAGAGACCACCACACGACAUCCUGGAAACUGAGGGAGGAGCAGUGCCUCCGAUCGCCUUUAUACAGGGGUCUGUGGGAGGAGCCACAGGAGCAGUCAGCAGAGGGGCAUGUCCAGACAGGUAAAUGUAGUUCACCACAAGUCGUCACACAUUCCAUGUCCACAAGGCUCGUAGAACAACACAAGCAACAACAACACCAGAACAAUAGCAGCCCGCGAUGCUGCCUGACUUCUGUUAAGCCCUGCCAUUGCUUGAUGGCUGGUCUGGAACUGCCUCUUCAUCUUUGAUGGCUUUACGGAAGUGAUAUCUGGAUUUUUUUUAAAUAAAGGUCGGGGACACCUGAUUUGAAUGCCGUAUUCCUGAAUUUCAGUAGGGAAUGGACCUCCUUGUUUAUCCAUGGUCUCCAGUUUGGGGGGGACACCUGGACUGAACUCUUUAGUACCCAGUUCUUUACACACAUUGAUAAAGUCCGUGGUUGUGGUGAGUGACCCAAAGUAGUCACACAGAAACUCCUCAGUCUUUUCAGACCUGUACCGUAAAAACUUCCUUUACUAGAUGAUCACGUUUCAGCUUCUGUUUGUACACAGGGAGAAGGAGCAGAGCCUGGUGGUCUGAGUUACUGAAGUGUGGUUUGGGGCGGCUGGAUUGGUAGGUAUGUCAGUUGACUAUGUAGCAAUAGUCAGAGGUGUUUAGGCCCCUGGUGGGACAGGAGGCAUGCUGGUAGUAUUUUGGUAACCCAGUCUUGAAGUGGCCUGGUUAAAGUCUCUGGCAAUGAAGAAGAGAGCCUCAGGGUAUCUCCCAUUCCAGGCUUCACAGUUCAUUGUCAGGAAUAUUAGCUCUUUACAGCAGCAUCACAAUCCAUUACAAACAUCUCAAACACACAUUAAUUUAAAUGAAAAUAAAUUAUACAUAACUUGCACAACAAAUUAAACGUCAUGACUCCAGACCAGAUGAUUGGAAUUUUACUGUUGGUCGCACUGCUCUUCUCCACCUCUCACUCAAAACCUUCAAAGUUCAAAGUAAAUUUAGAGUAGUCACCAUAGACUACCCUGAGAUUUAUUUUCUUGUGGGCAUUUUCAGUAGAAUAGAGGAAUGCAAUAGAAUCAAUGAAAAACUACACUCAAACAUCCAGGGUUAAUGAUAAAAACACCAAAUGCUGGCAGAACUCAGCAGGCCAGACAGUAUCUAUGGGAGGAGGUAGUGACGACGUUUUGGGCCGAAACCCUUCAUCAGGGUUAUUGACUCUGGUUUGAUGUAGUGCUACAGAUUUCAACCCCCACCCCCACCCCCACCAUCCAUGAUGUUAUUUCUCUCCUGAAGUCAAACAGCACAAUGUUUUCUUUUGAUAGUAUUUUUCCUUUCAUUGUUGCCCACAGCAAUUUCUAAGAAAUUAAUCUUCAUAUCUUUUCCGAACUGCAUAUCACUCUUCAACCAAUCCAUUUGCGCCUCUCGGAGGAGCUGUCAACUGAGCUGGUUAACGCUUUACAUUCCCUAGUUAACCCUUUCUUAUUGUAAGCAAAUCUGCUCAGUCCUUCGAUUAGCAUGAAGUGAAUUAUAAACGUACCUUGGGACUGUGAGUUUGUAAGGGAAGCUGCUUUACAUAGAGGCGGCUGUUAUACAAUAUGUGCUUGUGUUUCCAUAAUUGUUGUAGUUAAAUGAUUGGAAUAAUAGACAGUGACUAAGACAACAAUACAGCAGAAGGCAAAUCCAAUGACCGCCUUUAGCCGACCUUCACACACCUGGUGAGGUCAUGACAAGGCCCCACAGCUACAGUAGACAACUCCUACAUACAACAACCUGACCAGCUCACAGGUCCUCCCUCCUGCCCUAUAACAAGCCAACAAGCAUUUUAUUUUUAUUACCUAUUUAUUUUAUUUAGUGAUACAGGCCUUUCUGGACCGAUGAACUGCAUCACAACCCACCUAUUUUACACUUGCCUAAUGACAGGGCACUUAAUGAUUGCCAGUCAACCUAAUAACUGGUACAUCUUUGGAAUGUGGCAGGAGACUCACGUAUUCAUAAUGGGAAGGCCAUACAAACUUUUUACAGUCAAUAUCAGAAAUGAAGUCCGAACUCCACCCAGAGCUGUAAUCACACAACCCCAGGUUUGUCAAUGAUCCUUUGUCCCAGUAGAUGAAGAUGACAUGCAGGGUACCUUUAAGAGAGUGAAUCCAAGAAAAGCAUCCAGACCAGACAGUGUACCUGGCUGAGUACUGAAGACCUGUGCUGACCAACUGCCGGCGUGUUCACAGUAUCACCAACCUCUCGCUCUGGCAAUGUGUGGUACCCACCUGCUUCAAGCAGGCUUCAAUCAUACUCGUGCCCAAGAAGAGAGUGGUAGUCUGCCUCAGUGACUAUCGCCUAGUGACACUUGCAUCCACAGUGUUGUAGCAUAUCAGCUUAUGUCUGAGUGGGGACUUGGAUCUGCUCCAAUUUGCAACAGCAACAGGUCUACAACAGAUGCCAUCUCAUUGGCUCUUCACACAGCUCUGGAACAUCUGGACAGAAAAGAUGCAUACAUCAGGAUGCUCUUUAUUGACUACAGCUCAGCAUUUAAUACUGUCAUCCCCUCAAAACUAAUCAGUAAGCUUGAAGGCCUGGGCCUCAAUACUCCCUGUGUAAUUGGAUCCUGGAAUUCCUCACUUGCAGACCCCAGUCAGUCCGGAUUGACAAAGCGUCUCCUCCACAAUCCCCAUCAACACUGCAGGGAUGUGUGCUUAGUCCUCUGCUCUACUCACUUUACACCUAUGACCGUGUGGCCAAGUAUGACUCCAACACCAUGUACAAGUUUGCUGAGACACCACGGUUGUGGGCUGUGUCAAAGGUGGUGAUGAAUCAGGAGGGAGAGUCAACAUUUGACUGAGUGGUGUAAUAACAACCACCUCUCACUUGAUGUCAAUAAGACGAGGAACUGACUGUAGACUUCAGGAGAGGGAAACCAGAGCUCCAUGAGCCAGUAAUCAUUGGAAUAUCAGAGGUGGGGAGGGUCAGUAACUUUCAAUUCCUAGGUGUCACUAUCUCAGAGGACCUGUCCUGGACCCAGAUAAUUGCAAAGAAGCACAACAGCACCUCUACUUCCUCAGGAGUCUGCGGAGAUUCGGCAUGUCAUCAAAAACCUUGGCAAACUUCCAUAGAUGUGAGGUGGAAAUUGUGCUGACUGGCUGCAUUACAGUCUGGUAUGGGAACACUAAUUCCUCCGAGGGGAAAAUCCCACAAGCGGUAGUGGAUUUGGCCCAGUACAUCAUGGGUAAAACACUCCCAACUAUUGAGUGCAUCCACAUGAAACAUUGCCUUAGAAAAGCAGCAUCCAUCAUCGAAGAUCCUCACCACCCAGGCCGUGCUCUUUUCUCACUGCUACCAUCUGGUAGGAGGUACAAGAGCCUCAGGACUCACAGCAACGGGUUCAAUAACAAUUACUGCCCCUUAGCCAUCAGGCUCUUGAACGAAAGGGGGUAGCUACAGUCACUCUAUUUAUGAUAUUUCCACAACUAGUGGACUCACUUGAGCGACUCUUUAUCUUGUUAUUUCAUGCUUGUUAGUUAUUGCUAUUUAUUUAUAUUUGCUUUUGCACAGUUCCGUUCAUUGAUCGUGUUUACUGUUACUGUUCUAUAGAUUUGCCAAGUAUGCCCACAGGAAAAUGAAUCUCAGGGAUGUAUGUCGUGACAUAUGCUGCCUGCCUGCUGAGUUCCUUUACCAUCCAUCGGGUGUGCCUGCCGGUUGUACGGUUCGUGAAGUUGGGUUUCCAGCUGGCCUGCAGGGGGCAGUGCUGGACACCAUCUGCAGCGGAGUGAAACUCACCAACUGUUUCACUGUUCUGAGUCACUUCGGCAGACUGAACCAUGUUUAUUUCCCUAGUAACCAAAGACCGACCACAUAGGCUGCCUGCCUCCCAGCCUGAGGUGCCCUGGGGUGGAUUUUCAUGUGACGCCAAGCCCUUCCGAUUACUUCCAGCAGGAAAUCCAGUCUUAAUCCAGUUCUAAACGCGAGGGAGAGAGAGAAUUAAACAGAAAGAAAUAGAGUGAAAGAAAGAAAAGGAAAAUUAGAAAUAGAAAGAACUAGAGAGUGAGAGAGAGAGAGAGAGAGACAGACAGACAGAAAGAAAAAGUUGCCCCUCAGGUUCCUUUAAAACCUUUCCCCUCUUGUCGCACACCUAUGUCCCCUAGUUAAGGAUUUCCCUACCCUGAUGAAAAGACAGUCAGUCCGCCUAUCGUAAUUUUAAAUGUUUCUGUAAUGCCACCCCUCACUUGUCAACGUUCAUUUGGUCCUAACGACAUCCUCAUAAAUUGGCCCAACUCCCACACUCCCCCAAUUAGUGUCCAAUAGCCCCCUGAUUCCCACCCACAAAGAGUCAUAGAAAGAGGCCUUUUGGCCCAUUCUGUCAAUGCUGACCAGCAUGCCCAUCUGUACUAAUUCAACUUGCCUGCAUUAAUUCCGUAUCUCUCUUUUCCUGGCUCAUUGAAGUACCUGUACCGAUGCCCUUUCAACAUUGUUAAUGUUUCUGCCCCGACCACCUCUUCUGGCAACUCGUUCCAGAUCUCUAAGUGAAAAAAAAUCCCUCAAAUUCCCUUUAAACCUACUCCCUCUCACCUUACCCCUGUGUCCUAUGGUCUCAGACACCACUACUGUAAGAAUCAGACUCUUCCUAUGUACCUGGACUUUCAGAGGGCCUUUGACAAGGUGCCACACACGAGGCUGCUUACCAAACUACGAGCCCAUGGUAUUACAGGAAAGAUUCUAACAUGGAUAAGGCAGUGGCUGAUUGGCAGGAGGCAAUGCGUGGGAAUAAGGGAGGCUUUUCUGGUUGGCUGUGGUGUUCCACAAGGGUCUGUGCUUGGACCGAUUCUUUUUACUUUAUAUGUCAAUGGUGGAAUUGAUGGCUUUGUUGCAAAGUUUGCAGACGAUAUGAAGAUAGGUGGAGGGGCAGAUAGUUUUGAGCAAGUAGCGAGGCUACAGAAGGACUUAGACAGAUUGGGAGAAUGGACAAGGAAAUGGCAGAUGGAAUACACGGUCAUGUACACAGGGAAGUGUACGGUCAUGUACUUUGAUAGAAGAAAUGAAAGAGUUGACUAAGUGGAAAGAAAAUACAAAAAACUGAGGCACAAAGGGACUUGGGAGUCCUUGUGCAGGAUUCCGUAAAGGGUUCAUUUGCAGGUUGAGUCUGUGGGGAGGAAGGCAAACGCAAUGUUAGCAUUUACACACAUACUUACUGUAAUUCAGUUUUCUUUUUCUCUCGAAUAUCAUUGUACACCUGCUACAAAGUUAACAGAUUUCACAAAGAUGCUGAUUGUGAUUGCCGUGGCAGCAUCUCCUGUAGAUGCUAUCAAUGUGAUGUACCGGGCUGGGCCCACUACCCUGCAGCUUUUUACAUUCCUGUGCAUUCAACUUUCCACCUGCUUUAAGGAGGUAUUAUCCCAAUAGCUAAUAAAAAGAAGGCAACAUGCCUUAAUGAUUACUGCCCGAUUGCUGUGACAGACACCGUCACAAAGUGCCUCGAGAGUUUGUUGGUGCCACACGUGAACUCCAGUCUCCCAGACAAGUCAGCCAACUGCAAUUUGCCUGCUGCCAAAACAGGUAUAUGGCAGGUACCAUCUCUCUGGAGCUAAAGUCAUCGCUGGAGCAUGUAGGCAGUAAAGAUACCUAUGUCAGACUAUUGUUUAAUGACCAGAGCACUGCUUUCAAUGGCACAAUUCCACACAAACUCAUCUCCAAACUCCUAGACCUGGGACCCAACAACUCCCUUUGCAACUGGAUCCAUGACUUCUUGAUUAACAGCCCACAAUCAGUAAUGACAGGCAGUAGAACUUCCACCUCUUUACAUUGCGGUGCUCCCUCCUCAACGCCCCUCCAACAACAGAGCUCCUUCCUCAAUGCCCCUUCCACAGUGCAGAGCUCCCUCCUCAACGCCGCUUCCAGAAUGUAGUGCUCCCUCCUCUCCCACAGCGAGAUGCUCCCUCCUCUGGCUCCAAGUGAGAUGCUCCCUCAUAAACACCCCUUCCACGGUGCAGAGCUCCCUCCUCAACACCGCUUCCAGAGUGUAGUGCUCCCUCCUUCCCUCCCCUCCCACAGCGAGAUGCUCCCUCCUCACUGACCCUACAAGUGAGACGCUCCCUCCUCAACACCCCUUCCACAGAGCUCCCUCCUCAACGCCACUUCCAGAGUGUAGUGCUCCCUCUUUCCCUCCCCUCCCACAGCGAGAUGCUCCCUCAUCACUGCCCCUCCCAGUGAGACGAUCCCUAUCACCCCCCCACAGUGAGACACUCCCUCCUCACCGCCCAUCCCACAGCGAGAUGCUCCCUCUUCACCACCAUUCCCACAAUGAAAUGCUCCCUCCUCACCGCUCCUCCCACAGCGAGACGCUCCCUCGUCACCACCCCACAGCGAGACGCUCCCUCGUCACCACCCCACAGCGAGACGCUCCCUCGUCACCACCCCACAGCGAGAUGCUCCCUCCUCACCCCCCCACCCCCCCACAGCACAGUGGGCUUUCGGUAAUUCUCUUGAUCAGGACUCCAUCAGGAAGUCUAUAAUGGCCGUGCUGGAUCGAGCUGCCCCAGAUGUGCAUCACUGGCUGGGAAUAUAGUUUAUGUUGGAUUCAGUAAGGAAUUGGACUGUUUUCCUGAAUUAGCAUCAGGAAUUUCUCAUUGUUUUAUUUCUGGCUCUCCCAGGAGGACUGUCUGCAGAAUGGCAGAGCUUGAAACCAAGCUUCUACAGGCUUCUCUCUGACAUUCCUUCGUCUAUUCCCUUGACAGAGCCCUCCUGAAUCCUGUGUUUCCCAGUGAGUAGCCCCUGCCCACCCCCUUCGCAGGCGAUGCAUCCUAGAUGGAAAUGAUUAACUAUGGAAAAACAUCCAGUUUUCUUUUGCCGCUUCAAUUAUCUCAGAUCUGGGAGCGGCUCACUGGAAUGUGAGAGUCACUGAUGGUGGGGCAGACAGACAAAACACACAGAGGUGUUCACUGUAGAAGAAAGAAAUACAAUAGAAUCAAUGGAAAACUACACACAAUGGAGACUGAGAAACAACCAGUGUGCAAAAGAAGACAAACUGUAAAUGUAAUAAUAAAUAAUAUUGUUAACAUGAAUUGUAGAGUCCUUCAA